This 426-nucleotide ribosomal RNA is filed under the name uncultured Comamonas sp. RNAcentral's name for it is "bacterial SSU rRNA". It matches the Rfam family "Bacterial small subunit ribosomal RNA", at positions 356 to 774 of the family's 1533-position model. The record is from RNAcentral. Lineage: Bacteria; Pseudomonadati; Pseudomonadota; Betaproteobacteria; Burkholderiales; Comamonadaceae.
GGGGAAUUUUGGACAAUGGGCGCAAGCCUGAUCCAGCAAUGCCGCGUGCAGGAUGAAGGCCUUCGGGUUGUAAACUGCUUUUGUACGGAACGAAAAGCCUCUCUCUAAUACAGGGGGGUGAUGACGGUACCGUAAGAAGAAGCCCCGGCUAACUUCGUGCCAGCAGCCGCGGUAAUACGAAGGGGGCUAGCGUUGCUCGGAAUCACUGGGCGUAAAGCGCACGUAGGCGGUUUUGUAAGACAGUGGUGAAAUCCCCGGGCUCAACCUGGGAACUGCCAUUGUGACUGCAAGGCUGGAGUGCGGCAGAGGGGGAUGGAAUUCCGCGUGUAGCAGUGAAAUGCGUAGAUAUGCGGAGGAACACCGAUGGCGAAGGCAAUCCCCUGGGCCUGCACUGACGCUCAUGCACGAAAGCGUGGGGAGCAAACA